Molecule: long non-coding RNA, 1474 nt
Organism: Larimichthys crocea (large yellow croaker)
Lineage: Eukaryota; Metazoa; Chordata; Actinopteri; Sciaenidae
Exons: 3
Source: RefSeq, a predicted model, not a curated record
UUUCUCUCCGGUGACGCCGUCUUUACAGCUGCAGCGCCCCCUGCUGUCACACCUGGAACUGACAGAACCUGAAGAGAAAAACACGUGGAGAGUCUUACAGUAGAAGCCGUCCUUGCAGCGCUCGCAGUGGCGGCCCUCGGUGUUCCCCUGACAGUCCACGCAGUGCAGACCGAAGGCGUCGCGGAGGCAGUACCGGGAUCUUCCAUUGCAGUCGCAACGCAGAAUCGCUGAGGAGGAGACGGGAGGUCAAGUCCAGUAAUAUUCAGUGUUCUGUGGUUUGUUCAGAAAAUCCCGGAGAGCUGCGCCACAAAUCACAGAGCCCCACCCAAAACAGCCAACGCCUCGUCUGAGGAAACAGCUCGUCUGCCUGCAGGCGCUCCGGAUCAUCAUCCGUCUGAUAAAAGUCACGCUGCAGUUUAAGUCUGGACAGGCAGCGACUUGUUCCUGCUGCUGGCAGAGAGUUCAUCAAACAGUGCUAAAGUUAUGUCAUGAAUGAGAAACAUUCAUCAGGAAUGAGCCUGAAUGGACCUGCACUGUCUCUUUAAUGCACAUUUAACAUUUUAGAUUGAACCUUUGGUUGCUAAGGUAACCAGCUUGGAUGGUUUAUUAGAUUUUUAUAUUAAUAAAAAGUUUCUGUCGUUCUCUUUACGGAAACGAUUAAGCAGAGCUAACGUUAUCGAACCAACGCAACAUUUUGUAGGUCCAGGGUUUGGUCUACCUGAGGAAGCCAAACCUUCAGGUCACAUGACCUCUGGUGUGUGACUGUGGUGUCUAAUGUAAGCGUUCACAGGGACGGUGAGGUGAGGUGAGGUGAAGGUGCGCCUGUUUGUUCUUGUGUCUGACCGUCGGCUCGAGGUUCCCCUCAGAUCCCUCAGCCUCUGACUCAGGGAUUCAUGUAGCGACAGCUCGGUCAGUGUGGUUCAGAGUACAGGACUGACUCACUCUGAUAACAGUUAAUGUUAACGGUCGCUCUUAUAGAACACGAGUCUGUCUGAGACGCUCCCUGAACGAAUGAAUCACAGGAAACAGAAUAUAUAUAUAUAAUACACGCUGAACUGUAUGAUAUAACAUAAUGAACACAAAACAUGUCUGUAGUUAUAGUUAAAUCAUGGUCAUUCAUGUCAUAUAUGGAACCUUUAAAAAACUAUAUUUUGAUCUGGUGACAUGAAAACAUUCAGCAGCAGUUUAGAAUAAAUCUACUUAUAUAAGGAUGACUUAGAAGCUUUUUCCAGAACUUUCUACCACACGAUGCGACUGUAAGGAGCGAGUAAGUGGUCCUUGAGGUGACCUUUGUUUGGAGCCAUGCUGAGAUAAGAAGAUGUGACACGAUGUAUGAUGCAGUAACAUGCAGGUAAACACGUGUCACACCUGGAUGCUCUUAUGUACACUGUAAAAAAAACAGUCAAAUGAUUGUCGGCAGCCUCCGCCAAACAAAACUAAAAUAAAAAUAAAUUCACUGAAAUGUUCAGUUUCU